CCGGGCAAGGCCAAUCACUGACCUCCAUGGUAAAGGAGUCUCAACAUCUGGGCAAUGAUGUCAUGGGACAGGGAAUGGGAUCAUAAUGGUCAUGUUCCUCUCUAUGUGGACAAAGAAGGUUCAGAAAGCAAGUCUACUGUGUGAUCAGCAAUAGGAAUUUUAGAAAACAAUUCUUAUACGCUACAUUCCCUACCAGCUACCUUAGUGUUGGCCGAGCUCUCCAGCCCCUCUGUCUUAUGCUGGUUUCUAGUCAUGCCAGUUGAGCUAUGUGCUAGGAAAAUGAAGACUGCAUUGAUAGGAGCACACAGCAAGAAGAGCUGCUUUCAAUCAACCAAGCCAUCAAUAUCUAUUGAUAUGAAACAUGGCUAGGUCUCAUUAAAAGAACAGCAAAGUAUCGAUACCAACACAAGACUACUUAUGAAAUCAAACAAACCUCCCUAAGCUGAUUUGACAAGAAGCUGGAGUGAAUGAGCUGAGAAUUUGGAAAAGCCAAAAGUGGACUCAUUGAAAAUUGAAAACCAAUGCAGAACCUGGACUUCCCCGUGAAAGCUGUCUUUUUCCAUAGGACCACAGCCACCUAGUGCCUAUUUAGCUCUUUGAAUUUGGCUGGGAAAGACAGGAGGAGUGACAAGGCCAGUACAUAGACAUCUGGGGACACUGGGGUGAGGAGGGCUCUUCAGAGAAACUUUCAGUCCCGGGGAGACUUCAGCUGCUACCAACUGUGCAGGGACAAAAGAAGAGCAAUCCAGGCACUUGGUGCAGGCAAAGAGCUCAAAGUAGUUCUGCAGACACAAGGCCAGGGAGGAGUCAAGAGCUGGACACACAGCUUUUUGAGUCAAGAGCUGGACUCACAGCUUAGGGGAAAAGUGGAAAAUGUCAAUUCCUCACAAGUGACAACUUCAUGCAGAAUUCUGACACAGUGAGAGAAGACUUGUAGGGGAGGGAGGUAAGGAUAAUGAGAGGGGAAGGGAGAGGAGGACAGGGAAUGGAGAAGAGAGGACUGAAAAGAAGGGGUCCUUAAAAGCAAGGAAGGAGCCUCCUGGUGGAAUUGAACCCUCACCAUGCCUGCCAGCAGCAAAUCAGUUACUUCUUGAUCAGGUAAAAUGGCCAUGUGAUCAAGGAACAAAAACAGCGAAUCAGGAUAGAAUUAAACAUUUCUAAAAUGAUGCUGUUCAUCCGUGCCCCUUAAGGAUCCACAAGUGGCACUGACCACGUCCUUGGACACUGGCUGACAUAACUCUAGCUACCUUCCUCAUCUCGAGAGCAUGCUUUAGGGAGCGAGUGCAACG
This is a long non-coding RNA of Peromyscus leucopus (white-footed mouse), 1289 nucleotides long. RefSeq lists it as uncharacterized. The transcript is spliced from 3 exons. The record is from RefSeq and is a predicted model, not a curated record. NCBI's taxonomy places the organism in Eukaryota, Metazoa, Chordata, Mammalia, Rodentia, Cricetidae.